GGCAAUAUAGCCAAGCGGCUAAGGCAUGGGUCUGCAACACCCUGAUCGUCGGUUCGAAUCCGACUAUUGCCUCCA
This 75-nucleotide transfer RNA is filed under the name Mycoplasma mycoides. Its description in RNAcentral is "tRNA-Cys". It matches the Rfam family "tRNA". From Rfam's summary of the family: Transfer RNA (tRNA) molecules are approximately 80 nucleotides in length. Their secondary structure includes four short double-helical elements and three loops (D, anti-codon, and T loops). Further hydrogen bonds mediate the characteristic L-shaped molecular structure. tRNAs have two regions of fundamental functional importance: the anti-codon, which is responsible for specific mRNA codon recognition, and the 3' end, to which the tRNAs corresponding amino acid is attached (by aminoacyl-tRNA synthetases). tRNAs cope with the degeneracy of the genetic code in two manners: having more than one tRNA (with a specific anti-codon) for a particular amino acid; and 'wobble' base-pairing, i.e. permitting non-standard base-pairing at the 3rd anti-codon position. RNAcentral also lists the same sequence under 19 other names. Lineage: Bacteria; Bacillati; Mycoplasmatota; Mollicutes; Mycoplasmatales; Mycoplasmataceae. The record is from RNAcentral.